GCAAGAUUAAAACUCAAAGGAAUAGACGGGGACCCGCACAAGCGGUGGAGCAUGUGGUUUAAUUCGACGAUACGCGAAGAACCUUACCUGGCCUUGACAUAGAAAGAACUUACUAGAGAUAGUUUGGUGCUAGCUUGCUAGAACUUUCAUACAGGUGCUGCAUGGCUGUCGUCAGCUCGUGUCGUGAGAUGUUGGGUUAAGUCCCGCAACGAGCGCAACCCUCGUGUUUAGUUACUAACAGUUCGGCUGAGGACUCUAGACAGACUGCCUGGGUAACCAGGAGGAAGGUGAGGACGACGUCAAGUCAUCAUGGCCCUUACGGCCAGGGCUACACACGUGCUACAAUGGGGUAUACAAAGAGCCGCAAUACCGCGAGGUGGAGCAAAUCUCAUAAAAUAUCUCCCAGUUCGGAUUGAAGUCUGCAACUCGACUACAUGAAGUUGGAAUCGCUAGUAAUCGUGAAUCAGCAAUGUCACGGUGAAUACGUUCCCGGGUCUUGUACUCACCUCCC
This 511-nucleotide ribosomal RNA is filed under the name uncultured Campylobacterota bacterium. RNAcentral describes it as "bacterial SSU rRNA". It matches the Rfam family "Bacterial small subunit ribosomal RNA", at positions 888 to 1395 of the family's 1533-position model. The record is from RNAcentral. Lineage: Bacteria; Pseudomonadati; Campylobacterota.